UUAAAAGUUCAGUUUCUUUUGCCCUUUGCACAACUCAGUCUGUAAUUAUACAUUAAUUUUACUGUUACUGUGAGAUUGCUUCCCCAGAUUAUACAGUUUCAUUAAUUCAUCAGGUCCUACUGGAUGGUUAGAAAGUAAUGACAGAUUUGAUAUUUUCCAUUUAUUGAACCCAAGGUGGAAAUGUAUGCUUUCUUUUGUCCUCUUCCAGUAUGGUCUUACACAUGCAACAAUGGAUUCCCUACUGAGAAAGAAAAAGAGGAAAUGCUGAACCUCUUUUCCUUUUCACACACUCAAAAUCUUAGUGUUGCUAAGAAGUAAUAUCUAUUAUUAGCAUGACAGUGGUGACCAGCAUCUCAAAUAACUUAAUAUGGUUUGAAUUAAAGGAUUACCUUUUAAGACACUCUUUCCAUGUCUUUUAGUAUGUCAUAAGAACUCAGGUGAGUCCAGUUAAACCCAUUUCUGCAGACUCUUCUGCUAAUGAAAAUCUCCAUUGUCUUUAGGCCCAUAAUUUCUCUCUGUCCCAGAUGACCAGAUAAAUAAAUUCUCCUUUUCUCACACGUCUUUUAAUGAAGCAAAGAAAUCCUCUCUUUCCUUCCACUGAAGUAAGUGAGAUGUAUGAAUACAGAAGUAAUAGGCUUUGGUGGAAAAAGGGAGAACACUGUGCUUACAAAAAGCAUAGCUGCAAUGCAGCCUCUGCCCCAGUAUCUUUUGGGGAGUCCUGUAUCCUGUGCUCAGGGUACCUGGCACUGCAGCUGCCAGUGGCAGGAGCGGUGGAACAGAACUAUUUACAAAGAGCUUCAUGAACUUGCAGCUGUCUGUAAUUAUAAGGUGUUUGGCUAGUAUUAAUACUUCAUUGAAGUGCAUGUCUGGUUAGCUCUAAGCACUAGCCUCCAUUUUACAGUAGUUAUUCUCAGUAUUAGAUACCUCAGCAGAGAAGAAUUAUGUUUUCUAGGCAAAUACACUUGGCUGUGAUUAAUUACUUUUCCCUGGAAUGACCUGAUAUUGUUCCUUUACUACACCACUUUCUAAUUUUUCUGAGUAACAGCUAAUUAGAUGCCUGAGAAAAUUUACAGAAAUGCUGUAUUCAUAUAUUGCAUAAACUGGGUUGUAUUACUGUCUUGGUCCUGUGAAGAUGUAAGCAUAUGUUGAAAUUUAAGGUUUAGAGUCUCUUCUGUCAGCUUCUGGAGGACUGGAGGCUGCUGUUGGUCAGUGGAUGUUCUGCACUUCCCUCUUAUCAAGCAUUAACUUUGGGUCAUCUAAGGAGUAAGCAAUGGAUGAUUGAAGCUCAAAAAAAAAAGAUUUUUUUUCUUUCUGUGGUAAUGUCUACCUUAAACAUAAACUUUAAAUUCAUCAUGGAUUUGUUGUAGAAUGGUACUACUGUACUGAUAGCUCUAGUGUGCAGGUGACUGGCACAGAUGGAAUAAAUUUCACACCCAAGAAAUGACAACCCAGAGGAAAGAUAGAGCAGAUUACUAAUGUGUUAUGGCAGUGUAACUUCACCAGGACAGCCUGUCAGUGUGCCUUGCCAUUUUAAAGAUGACUUCUGCCAUGAAACUAGGUUAGGUUCUGUUUAGUUCUGUGCCUUGGCUGGCUGUGUUCUAGGAACUGCAACAAGACCAACACUUCAGAAUUUUUAUACUGAACUGACUCAUCACCAGUCACUAUCUGAGCUAGAUGGGAGCAGCCUAUUACAACUGGAAAAUUUAAAUCACAGUUGUCUUCCUUCUCCUGAAUAUGAACUUUGUUUCAUCCCACACCACCACUUGGUUCCUAGCUGCCCUUCUAUAGUUGGGUUCUGUUGUUAAAAUAUAGUGGGGCUUAGGUCUGCAGAGCAUGCUGCUACCUAUUCACUGUUUCCUUUGGGGUUUCUUGCUGGAAGUUCUACUGGGAAACCAAGAGUGCAAAUGUAGUUUAUUUUUGUCAUCUUCUCAGUUACUGUGUCAACUGCUCUGAACCCAAAACGUUUUGUUAACUGCACUGCAUUCUGAAGUGGUUUAUUGUGGAGUAUCACAACAGUUGUAACAACAAAAUGUAAGGAAUUUUCUAAGAAUGUGGAACAUGUAGGAAAGACAGGUAAGCAUAUUAAAUAUAUAUGUGUGUGUAGUUAUUCUAGAAAUUGCUAAUUACGGAUAAGGCUCAAAAAAACAGGUUUUCCAACUUUUCUUCUGAAAAAUUGCAGACAAAAAUGUAUUAUCAUGUAUAUGUAAAGCAUGUGUGAUAGUGUAUGUGUAGUUAAACUUAUACAGUCUAUUCACAGUAAAUGCAAACAAAGUCUUUCUAUUAUUGUGCUAACAUUACUAUGAACCUACAAUAGACUUUGUUUUUCAUAAAGCAAAAGGUAGUUUUCAGGAGCUUCUCUAUAACUGGGUAGAUGAUUAAGAUUGUUAAGCCUGAUGUGGAGGCUGUCAUUCAGCUUUAAAUGGCCUUUGCUGCACCAUGAUUCCUUUCCAAAAAAAUGCUCUGUGAGAGCAGUGAAACUCUUGUCCUCAAGCAGUUUACAGAGCUGCUGCAUGUACCAGCUGAGACAUGGCAACUAACUUUUUGCAUGGUCUUUAUGCAUUUUUUUAAAAAAGGGAAAGGCUGAUUUCAAUUAUUCUUGUUGAUCAGUUUAAGCUUUCCCUGUUUUACUUUGCACUGAAAUGAACAGAUAUCUCAAUUGAGAUAAGUAAGGUCUCACAAUUUUUUGUCUACUUUGCAAGAACACAUCUUGAUUAGUCAGUUCUUGAUUAAGUAUUUUUGCAUGCAAUUACGUUCAAUUCCAUUUCAAGGACUCCUGUAUCCAACUCAGCCCAUAAGAUGACCUAUGAAAUAUUUGCCUUUUUUUUUUUUUUGGCUACAUGUUUAUCAGUGCCUCUGUAGGCUUUUUUCCUGUCUUGUAAUAUUAGAUGCUUGUACAUAUCAACUCCUUUCCUAAUAGUUCCUCAUAUUAGAUUUCAUUUACUAAAAUAUUAAAGCGUGUGUGUAUUGGUAAGUGUAAAAUUAGUCAGAAAUUUUAAGUGUUUUGCUGGUUUGGAGUCCCAUAAGUUAUUUAUUUCCCUACAGCAGAAUGAAAAGGCUCAGGGGUCUUUGCAAUUCUGUAUAUAUUCAAACUCACCACAAAACCAAAGCCAAGACUGGCCAAAAUUGGCUAAAAUUAAAUAGCAUUAUAUCUAAAAAUAAUGAACUCUUUGAAUAUAUGCCUGUAUGUAUUUGCCUUUUAACUGGAUUGUCAUGAAUGUCUUUAUCAUUUUCAUAGAUUCUUUAUGGCAUAUAUAAUUAUGUGAUUUAGUAUGCCUGCUAAGGAUUUGUAGCCGUAUAUUAGUGCAUAUAGGAGUUUACUGACAUCAACAAGUACUAAAUGGCCAAAUUAGAUAAAACUUAGAAGAUAAAUUGCUAGACAGCACUGAAAGUUUGUAUACACUGAUGAACUCCCUCCAUAUACAGUGGAGAUAUAAAUCCACAGAAUAAACGUACUUUUUUUAACCUA
Long non-coding RNA from Pseudopipra pipra, 3466 nucleotides. RefSeq lists it as uncharacterized. The record is from RefSeq and is a predicted model, not a curated record. The transcript has 2 exons. Lineage: Eukaryota; Metazoa; Chordata; Aves; Passeriformes; Pipridae.